UGUGCAGGGAGCACAGCAUCGCGAGAGCAGUGGCUCUCAACGCGGUCCCUGGAGCAGCGGCAUCAACUGCCCCUGGAAGAUUCUCCUAGAAAUGCAAGUUCUCCUAGAAAUGCAAGUUCUCCAGCCCUGCCCAGACCACUGGGGUGGAGCCCAGCAAUCUGCAUCUUCACAAGCCCUCCAGGACAUGCUGAUCCACACUGACCUUGGAGAACCACUGGUUUGGAGCAGAGUCUGGUCAACUUUCCCUGUACAGGGUCAGAUCCUGGUUCCUUCUUACUGGCAGAUGUCCCUUUCAUGAGAGGUUCAACCAUCCAGCAGGGAGAAAGUCUUUUCCCAAAGCAACCGGAGGCUCCCAGCAGCCUUGUUUCCCAUGCUUCCCCACAGCACUGCACCCCAAGAAGAGGCUCAUUGCUGCUCUUGCUCACAAGGAGAAGACUCCCCGGGGCUCUAGCAGCGAAGGAGUCGAACUCGAAGCAAGCAUCUUCCUCUGAUAAUUUUUCUCCUCAGGAAAAUCCAUAAUUUUCUGAGAACACCAGAAACAAGAAGCCUGGUCUGAUUUAUGGCCCACUCACCCUCAUGGUAGCUGUCCUGUACCACCUUGCACGCCCCUCAGCCUGACGUGUUAGCUGACGUCCACCAGCCUGAUGUCUGCACAGCAACGACCGUGGUGUGAAAAUGCAUUGAGCGAUUUGCUUAUGGGGGCACCUCUCUGAGUAUGUGUCAUACUCCAGCAAAAUAACUCAUGUUUUAAAGGUGCAUAAACCAUGACCAUGGACCUGUCCUCCCUGAUGCUUCUGUAUUACCAAGUCUAAGAUAAGUGAAAUGCAAAUAAAUGGAAAGCACUCCAGGGUGGAGCUGUGGGGCGGACGUGUUGGGUUUGAGAGAAAGCAGCGGGGAGCCUUCAGUAUUUGCUCCCCAACCACCUUUCCUGAGGAGUUGCUUCUGAUGUGCUAAGUUUCUUUUUUUUUUUUUUUUAAAGAUUUUUUAUUUAUUUAUUUGACAGAGAUAGAGACAGCCAGCGAGAGAGGGAACACAAGCAGAGGGGAGAGGGAGAGGAAGAAGCAGGCUCAUAGCAGAGGAGCCUGAUGUGGGGCUCGAUCCCACAACGCUGGGAUCACGCCCUGAGCCGAAGGCAGACGCUUAACCGCUGCGCCACCCAGGCGCCCCUGAUGUGCUAAGUUUCUUGAACUAGAGUGUUAGCUCUUCUCAAGGUGGCCGUCUGCACGGGACUCUGUACUCACCAGCGGCCCUCACUGCUUCUGGCUGAGGGAUGCUGAUGGUCCUGGCUGUUACUACUACCUGUCAUUUCCUUGUACCCUGAUUUAACAUUGCAAAUAGUCCCUUCAUAAAAUCCUCAUUAAAAUCUUGUAAUUUUUUUUUAAAGAUUUUAUUUAUUUAUUUGACAGAGAUAGAGAUAGCGAGCGAGAGGGAACACAAGCAGAGGGAGUGGGAGAGGAAGAAGCAGGCUCAUAGUGGAGGAGCCUGAUGUGGGGCUCGAUCCCAUAACGCCGGGAUCACGCCCUGAGCUGAAGGCAGACGCUUAACCGCUGUGCCACCCAGGCGCCCCUAAAAUCUUGUAAUUUGAAGAUGCCAUGCAUUUCCUAUAAAGAGCCCUAUGUGAUAUGGGAUUUAAAGGGAGCCUAUGGUCAAGCACAGAAUGGAGAAACCACAUGUUGGGUUGUCAGAGCGUGUUCAGAAAGAAAGAAUGUGCACUGCCCUCCAGUGUGGGCCACCAGAGUCCGCAUGCCUGAGGGGAUUUUCCUGGGAAGGUCUUGUCACAUCUCUGGUGGUCUAUCUCCUUGUUCUUGGCGGUCUCCUCUCUACUGCUGAGCACUGCUGACCUCCUCCCAGAGGACUGGGAGAAAGAGGACUGGCCGAUGGUGAGUCCCCAGCGAAUACUGUUGACUGUGCAUCUCUCACAAGGGCACCGAUUGAUGACUUCUCAAUAAAGGAACGCACCAGAACCAAGAGCACCCAGACCAAGAAACGGGUGUCGCCAGCACCCUCCAGGCUCCUUCAUGGUCUGGGUCACUCCACCUGCAAUGGCAGCCUUCACACGGACUUUUAACACCAGAGUUCCAGGUUUCUGUUUUUGAACUUUAUGUAAAUAAGAUCUUAUAUCAUGUUUUUUGUGUCUAAUUUUUUUUUUAAUUUUACCUUAUGUUUGUGAGAUUCAUCUGGUUUUGCGUAUGCCAUUCUCAUUGCUGUGUGGUUUUCCAUUUUAUGAACAUACCACAAUGUAUUUUUCUGUCCUAUUUGAGAAGACUAUUUGGGUCAUUUCUGCUUUGGGGGCUAUUAAA
Ailuropoda melanoleuca (giant panda) is the source of this 2300-nucleotide long non-coding RNA. RefSeq lists it as uncharacterized. Lineage: Eukaryota; Metazoa; Chordata; Mammalia; Carnivora; Ursidae. The transcript has 3 exons. The record is from RefSeq and is a predicted model, not a curated record.